RNAcentral lists this unclassified non-coding RNA (910 nucleotides) under Hevea brasiliensis (rubber tree). Lineage: Eukaryota; Viridiplantae; Streptophyta; Magnoliopsida; Malpighiales; Euphorbiaceae. The record is from RNAcentral.
GAACCGUUCAACAGGGGAAAGGGCAACCAAAGCAAAAAUCCCCUGUCCACUUUCGCCCUUCCUCCUAGAAUUGCUGACUGGCCUCCUCGAAUUGAAUUUCUUUCUUCUUCUUCUUUCGGAUUGGGCGAGGAUCCCUGCCCUGGCAGGUAAUACGGGAAGCAGCCUUGUAUACAUUUAUUUAUUGACAUAUACAAAUGAAUAUAUGAGCGUAGCGAGAGCGACUAGAGUUCACGUCAGGCAAUGUAAUUGUUGAUGUAGUUGCUUGUAGUUUUUUUUUUCGUUCUAUCUAUUCGAGAUUGGGUUAGUGUUCCACUACGCCCCUCGGUAAAGACUUCCUAGUUAGCGCUCCGUCGGUCCUUCAAACCCGGCAUUCUCCGACCCUAACGCCGAUGAUACUUCUUUCUGGGCAGCCAUACAUAAUAAAUACCAUUAAAAAUGGUGAACCCGGAUCUAUUUCAAGACUCCGCUUAGCUGCUUCUAACGAAGAUAGUUCUCCGCUCCAUUAGAGUAGCAUUCCUUAUCCUCUCACUUUUAGGUAGUAAAGGAGGAAGACCGGCUCACUUCGCUGGCUAGAACCGGAUGGGAACCAUGCCCGACUCAGCACUUGAGCCUGCCUGUCCUUUCUUAGAUCGAACUUCCCCUGACUGCUUUCCUGGCAUAGGAGGUGAUGAAUCUAAUUCCUAGCAGCGGCUAUAUCCUUAUUUUUUACUUCAGCUGAUAGAAAAGAUCCUUAAAAGUAUCCCUAUCCCCGGAUCUUAUAUGCCCGUUAUUGACUCGCUUAAAACCAUAUCCUUUGCCUUUGCAAGUCGAGCUAUUCCUACCUUCGCUAUCAGUCUCCUUGCUGUUUCAGCUUAAUCGCUCGUUUGAUUAGCUCAUUAUCUUAUGAUGCAUCUUCUAUCUUAAAAGCUAG